Molecule: ribosomal RNA, 305 nt
Filed under: uncultured Streptococcus sp.
Lineage: Bacteria; Bacillati; Bacillota; Bacilli; Lactobacillales; Streptococcaceae
Description: bacterial SSU rRNA
Rfam family: Bacterial small subunit ribosomal RNA
Source: RNAcentral
UGUUGGGUUAAGUCCGCACGAGCGCAACCCUAUUGUUAGUUGCCAUCAUUCAGUUGGGCACUCUAGCGAGACUGCCGGUAAUAAACCGGAGGAAGGUGGGGAUGACGUCAAAUCAUCAUGCCCCUUAUGACCUGGGCUACACACGUGCUACAAUGGUUGGUACAACGAGUUGCGAGUCGGUGACGGCGAGCUAAUCUCUUAAAGCCAAUCUCAGUUCGGAUUGUAGGCUGCAACUCGCCUACAUGAAGUCGGAAUCGCUAGUAAUCGCGGAUCAGCACGCCGCGGUGAAUACGUUCCCGGGCCUU